This is a long non-coding RNA of Ursus maritimus (polar bear), 1040 nucleotides long. NCBI's taxonomy places the organism in Eukaryota, Metazoa, Chordata, Mammalia, Carnivora, Ursidae. The record is from Ensembl.
AGACUCCUUAGCUCUGGUUAAAUAGUUAUAAAUGUUUCUCCUUAAAGGGUGGAAGCCUUGCUUAGAAACCAUAUCUCACCUUGCACGUAUUUAAUCUAUUUUUUCCUUUCCCCUUUUUUGUUUCCCCAGGAGAAAAUAAUGAAUGUCAAAGGAAAAGUGGUCCUGUCAAUGCUGGUUGUCUCCACCGUCAUUGUUGUGUUUUGGGAGUAUAUCCACAGCCCAGAAGGCUCCUUCUUGUGGAUAUAUCACUCAAAGUAAGUGCUUUGAAUUCUGGAGGUCUAUGGGAUGUCUCCCGUGUCCCGUCUGGCACCCCCCACAGUCUAUUUUUAGCAUGGCAGCGGGUGGUGGAGCCCUGGUCAAGGGCUAGAGGGUGAAGAAAAAAAUGGACUCCCCGCCUCCCAUUCCCUAGACUGGCCUUUAUCCAACUGUGACUAUUAUUUGGCCCUUGCUUCUCAUCAAGGGUUUCUUUACGUGGUAUCAUUGGGAGAACAUUCUGCCUUGCUGAUGAAAAGAAUCAGGACAGGUAUUCCCCCUUAUGCUGCCCAGUAUAUGUUCUAUAAAGACCCUUGCAAGAAAUUCCUUUGAGACAAAGAAUCAGGAAAAAAAAGUCAGGGUCUCCUGAUGAGCUCAUCUUUAUUAUUAUUAUUACCAAAGGCAGCGAGAACUAGGUAAGCCUUCAUUUUUCUGUCUUUGGCUUGAUUGCCAGGAGGCUCAGGGUAAAGUCUUGCUUAACUGCUUUGUACUUUCCUCAGCUUUCAUUUCUGAUAUUAUUCCUGCCCUGGUGUUAAAUCCUGGCUUUUAUGCUUACAUUCUGUGGGAUCUUGGCACUUGGCCCAAACCCACGUGGCCGAAUUCUCAGCUAUGAAAUGAACAUAAAGGUAAAAACCUUUAUUCUCAUGAGUAGCUGGGAUGACCACGAUCAUACGAAAAACACCUACCUGGGUGACUAAAGAAAUAGUUCUCUUUCUGUUCCCUUUUUGUUUAUUUAAGUCUUAUGUGGUCUCCCUGUGUAUGGCAACCACAUAAAUUAUCAACCAUCU